UACGUAGGGACCAAGCGUUGUUCGGAUUUACUGGGCGUAAAGGGCGCGUAGGCGGCAUGACAAGUCACUUGUGAAAUCUCCGGGCUUAACUCGGAACGGUCAAGUGAUACUGUCGCGCUAGAGUGCGGAAGGGGCAAUCGGAAUUCUUGGUGUAGCGGUGAAAUGCGUAGAUAUCAAGAGGAACACCUGAGGUGAAGACGGGUUGCUGGGCCAACACUGACGCUGAUGCGCGAAAGCCAGGGGAGCAAACGGG
RNAcentral lists this ribosomal RNA (253 nucleotides) under uncultured bacterium. RNAcentral's name for it is "partial 16S ribosomal RNA". It matches the Rfam family "Bacterial small subunit ribosomal RNA", at positions 524 to 776 of the family's 1533-position model. The record is from RNAcentral.